RNAcentral lists this small nucleolar RNA (106 nucleotides) under Gossypium hirsutum (cotton). Its description in RNAcentral is "Plant small nucleolar RNA R71". It matches the Rfam family "Plant small nucleolar RNA R71". From Rfam's summary of the family: R71 is a member of the C/D box family of snoRNAs containing the C (UGAUGA) and D (CUGA) box motifs. Multiple nearly identical copies of this snoRNA have been identified in Arabidopsis, and it is thought to function as a 2'-O-ribose methylation guide for 18S ribosomal RNA. RNAcentral also lists the same sequence under 1 other name. Lineage: Eukaryota; Viridiplantae; Streptophyta; Magnoliopsida; Malvales; Malvaceae. The record is from Rfam by way of RNAcentral.
AUUCCAUGAUGAGGCACUUUUGUUAUAACUCUUUGAACCUUUCCCAUGCCUCAUAUAAAGAUUCUUCGUCGAGUUGCUGAAAUAAAGUGAUUUCAUUUCGGAUCUU